Molecule: ribosomal RNA, 271 nt
Filed under: uncultured bacterium
Lineage: Bacteria
Description: partial small subunit ribosomal RNA
Rfam family: Bacterial small subunit ribosomal RNA
Source: RNAcentral
AGGACGAACGCUGGCGGCGUGCUUCACACAUGCAAGUCGAACGAGGCUCAUUCGGUGGCAACAUCGGAGAAGGUCUAGUGGCGAACGGGUGAGUAACACGUGAGGAACCUGCCCCGAAGACCGGGAUAACAGCGGGAAACCGCUGCUAAUACCGGAUGACCCCAGCUGGUCGCAUGGCCGGCUGAGGAAAUGGGCAUACCGCUUCGGGAGGGUCUCGCGGCCUAUCAGCUUGUUGGUGGGGUAACGGCCUACCAAGGCUACGACGGGUAGC